Molecule: long non-coding RNA, 227 nt
Organism: Mizuhopecten yessoensis (Yesso scallop)
Lineage: Eukaryota; Metazoa; Mollusca; Bivalvia; Pectinida; Pectinidae
Exons: 3
Source: RefSeq, a predicted model, not a curated record
GGUACGGUUUUGGAUGGGAGUCUCAGCUACUGGAGACAGGGUUCCUCGCCACAUUUUUGUGUCCCGUUUGGAACCUCUCUGCCGUACCUCCAGACACGCCCACUUCUAAAACCAUCAUCUGGGCAUUCCGCUGGCUCAUCUUCAGGAUCAUGAUUGGUGCUGGUUUGAUAAAACUUCGUGGUGACCAGUGCUGGAGAGAUCUUACCUGCAUGAAUUAUCACUACCAG